CGAGGGGCAGCGGGGAGCAAGCUUGCUUGCUCUGCCGGCGACCGGCGCACGGGUGAGUAACACGUAUGCAACCUGCCCUCCGCAGGGGGAUAACCCGGAGAAAUCCGGACUAAUACCGCGUGGUACACCGGUGGGGCAUCCCACGGGUGUUAAAAGGAAGUGAUUCCGGCGGAGGAUGGGCAUGCGGCGCAUUAGCUAGUUGGCGGGGUAACGGCCCACCAAGGCGACGAUGCGUAGGGGUUCUGAGAGGAAGGUCCCCCACACUGGUACUGAGACACGGACCAGACUCCUACGGGAGGCAGCAGUGAGGAAUAUUGGUCAAUGGGCGGGAGCCUGAACCAGCCAAGUCGCGUGAGGGAAGACGGUCCUAUGGAUUGUAAACCUCUUUAGGCGGGGAGCAAUGCCGGGCACGCGUGCCCGGAGGGAGAGUACCCGCAGAAUAAGCAUCGGCUAACUCCGUGCCAGCAGCCGCGGUAAUACGGAGGAUGCGAGCGUUAUCCGGAUUUAUUGGGUUUAAAGGGUGCGUAGGCGGAUUUUUAAGUCAGCGGUAAAAUGUCCGGGCUCAACCCGGGCCGGCCGUUGAAACUGGGGAUCUUGAGUGGGCGAGAAGUAUGCGGAAUGCGUGGUGUAGCGGUGAAAUGCAUAGAUAUCACGCAGAACUCCGAUUGCGAAGGCAGCAUACCGGCGCCCGACUGACGCUGAGGCACGAAAGCGUGGGGAUCGAACAGGAUUAGAUACCCUGGUAGUCCACGCAGUAAACGAUG
RNAcentral lists this ribosomal RNA (764 nucleotides) under uncultured bacterium. RNAcentral's name for it is "bacterial SSU rRNA". It matches the Rfam family "Bacterial small subunit ribosomal RNA", at positions 63 to 811 of the family's 1533-position model. The record is from RNAcentral.